RNAcentral lists this ribosomal RNA (265 nucleotides) under uncultured archaeon. RNAcentral's name for it is "partial 16S ribosomal RNA". It matches the Rfam family "Archaeal small subunit ribosomal RNA", at positions 719 to 982 of the family's 1478-position model. The record is from RNAcentral.
ACACGACUACAUUAGAUACCCGUGUAGUCCUAGCCGUAAACGAUACUCGCUAGGUAUCGGCCACGGUGCGACCGUUGUCGGUGCCGUAGGGAAGCCGUGAAGCGAGCCACCUGGGAAGUACGGCCGCAAGGCUGAAACUUAAAGGAAUUGGCGGGGGAGCACCACAACGGGUGGAGCUUGCGGUUUAAUUGGAUUCAACGCCGGAAAUCUUACCGGGACCGACAGCAACAUGAAGGCCAGGCUGAAGACCUUGCCGGAUUAGCUG